Molecule: ribosomal RNA, 253 nt
Filed under: uncultured bacterium
Lineage: Bacteria
Description: partial 16S ribosomal RNA
Rfam family: Bacterial small subunit ribosomal RNA
Source: RNAcentral
UACGUAGGGUGCGAGCGUUAAUCGGAAUUACUGGGCGUAAAGCGUGCGCAGGCGGUUUUGUAAGCCAGAUGUGAAAUCCCCGGGCUUAACCUGGGAAUGGCAUUUGGGACUGCAAGGCUUGAGUGCGGCAGAGGAGACUGGAAUUCCUGGUGUAGCAGUGAAAUGCGUAGAUAUCAGGAGGAACACCGAUGGCGAAGGCAGGUCUCUGGGACGGUACUGACGCUGAGGCGCGAAAGCCUGGGGAGCGAACAGG